RNAcentral lists this long non-coding RNA (1497 nucleotides) under Hordeum vulgare. RNAcentral describes it as "long non-coding RNA (HVUL_LNC001941)". Lineage: Eukaryota; Viridiplantae; Streptophyta; Magnoliopsida; Poales; Poaceae. The record is from RNAcentral.
UAUCAUAUAAGCAACAUAUAGGGCAUGUAUCGAACAUCAUAUAAGAGCAACACAACAAAUAGGCUACGUUCCAAUACAUACACAUAGUUUCAAUCAUCAUACAUACACAUACUUAUCGUAUCUCCAUAGAUACACAUAGUUUCACAUUGUUUAUCAAUACAAAUCGAAACAGAAAGUAAAUAGUAGCAAUCCAUCAAUGCUGGCUUCCAUGAAUGCCAGCUUCCAUGAAGUGAAUCAAAUCUGCAAAAUGAAAACAAGAAAGUUAGAAGAAGAAGAAGAAGAAACUAGAAGAAGAAGAANNNNNAGAAGAAGAAGAAGAAAACUAGAAGAAGAAGAACAAGAAGAACACUAAAACAACAACAACAAGAAGAAGAAAACUAGAAGAAGAAGAAGACUAGAAGAAGGAGAAGGAGAAGGAGAAGAUGAUUAUUUAUCUUAUUUUGAGCUUAUUAUGUUAUUUUGGAGGGAGAUACGCUAAGUUAUGAGAUAACCAUGGUUCUUGUGCUAUUUUUGCCCUAACUAAGCUAAUUAUGUUAUAAAUGAACUAAAUAAGCUAAUUAUGUCAUUUUGGAGGAUAAUUAGCGAAGUAUGUCAUUUUGGAGAAUAAAACUACAAGAAGAAGAAGGAGGAGAAGAACAAGACUAGAAUAAGAAGAAGAAGAAGAAGAAGAAGGAGAUGAAGGAGAAGAAGGAGGAGGAGGAGGAGAAGAAGGAGAAGAAGGAGGAGAAGGAUAAGAAGGAUGCGAGAAAGAAGAAGAAGGAGAAGAUGAUUACUUAUCUUAUUUUGAGCUUAUUAUGUUAUUUUGGAGGGAGAUACGCUAAGUUAUGAGCUAACCAAGGUUCUGGUGCUAUUUUUGACCUAACUAAGCGAAUUAUGUCAUAAAUGAACUAAAUAAGCUAAGUAUGUCGUUUUGGAGGAUAAUUAGCUAAGUAUGUCAUUUUGGAGAAUAAAACUAGAAGAAGAAGAAGAAGAUCAAGACUAGAAGAAGAAGAAGAAGAAGAAGAAGGAGGAGGAGGAGGAGGAGGAGGAGAAGGAGAAGAAGGAGGAGAAGGAGAAUAAAGUUGAGAAAAAGAAGGAGCAGAACAAGGAGAAGAUGAUUACUUAUCUCAUUUUGAGAUUAUUAUGACAUUUUGGAGGGGGGUACGCUAAGCUAUGGGAUAACCAAGGUUCUUGUGCUAUUUUUGACCUAACUAAGCUAAUUAUGUCAUAAAUGAACUAAAUAAGCUAAGUAUGUCAUUUUGGAGGAUAAUUAGCUAAGUAUGUCAUUUUUGGAGAAUAAAACGAGAAGAAGGAGAAGAACAAGACUAGAAGAAGAAGAAGAAGAAGAAGAAGGAGAAGAAGAAGGUGAAGAUGAUUACUUAUCUUAUUUUGAGCUUAUUAUGUCAUUUUGGAGGAGGAUACGCUUAGUUAUGAGCUAACCAAGGUUCUUGUGCUAUUUUUGACCUAACUAAGCUAAUUAUGUCAUUUUGGAGGAUAAUUAUCUAAGUAUGUCAUUUU